UUGCAACAAUCCGAAGUAGCUCUGGUGGAUUUGCAAUUCUAGCCGCCUUCACUUUGUUGGAAAUUAGUCCGGCAAUUUGGUACCUUCGUUCCAACUCUAUCUUUAUUUUUCGCAAUUUAAUUUACGCAAUUUAAUUCUGAAAAUUUAAUUUGUUGCAAUUUAUUUUCUUGUGAUUUAUUUAAGUGUGAUUUAAAUUAAAUCUAUUUAAUAAUGACGAAGAGAUUUAGACGUGGUGCCGGUAGUAGUGAUAUUGUCAGGGGUGGGUUUAAUGAGGAAAUAUUUGUGGAAGAAACACCUAAUUUAGGUAAUGAUGUUGGUGGAAAUAAUCCACGUUUAGAUCAUGAGGCAAUGCAACAACAUUAUACCGACACUUUUAAUGAAAUUGAUGAUGAUGAUGAUGAUGAAACACAAGCCCCCGAAAAUCCCAUAGGAGAUACAAGUCCUGCACAAUCACAUACACAAGAUAAACUGCCUAAAACUCGUAAGCCAACCGCUAAAAUUUGGAAAUUUAUGACUAAGGAUAAGGAAAGCCAAACAGCUAAAUGUACCCUAUGUAGACAAGUAUUUGCUUUUAGGCAAGGAACUAGUAAGGAUGGUGGAAUGUGUACACUAAAUGGUCAUAUGAGAAAGAAACAUAUGGAUGUUUGGGGAGAGCAAACGUGUUCAAAUGUGGGGGUAUUCAAAUGACGAUACACCCACGAACCGGUAAAAUUUUUAAGUAUGACAAGAAAAAAGAGCGUGUAGAAAUAGCUAAAAUGAUAGCUUAUGAUUGUUUACCAUUUUUCUUUCCUUCGUGUUUGAGGUUUGUUACUUACAUUCAACGUUGUUAUAAUCUGUUAUUUGAGGGUAUUCCUAGAAGUACUUGUAGAGCGGAUGUUAUAGAUUUAUAUAAAAAAUAUAGAUUUUAUUUGCGCCAUGUAUUUAAUACUUUAAAUUGUAAUGUUUCUUUUACCGCUGAUUUGAGUCUUAGUCUUAACAAGUUAGAUUUUUUUGCCAUUACAUGUCAUUAGGUUGAUGAUAAUUGGGUUAUGCAAAAAAGAAUUAUAGCUUUUUUAUAUGAUGAAGGGAAAGGUCGUCACGAUGAAAUUUUUUAACAUUUAUAGAAAAACACUUUGUAUUACUUUAGAUAAUGCUUCUAAUAAUACAAAGGCGAUUGGUCUUUCAAAAAGAGAAUUAAACCCUCCACUAAAAAAUAUUUUUCACGUGAGAUGUAGUUGUCACAUUUUAAACUUAAUUGUUAAAGAUGGUCUUGUGUGUUUUGACGAUUCUAUUCAAAAAGUUAGAGAGGCGGUUGCGUUUUUUUUUUUGUAAUGCUAAUAGGGGAAGACUGAGAGAUUUUAAGAAUUGUUGUGUGGAAAUAACCUUAGAACUAGAAAAAUUCAAGUAGAAAUUGAGACUAGAUGGAACUACACUUACAUUAUGCUACAACAAGCAUAUGAGUAUAGAAUUCUCAUACAAUAAGUUCACAACAAAUAUAAUAUUAAUAAUGAUGAUUGGUUAAAUUUUACGCAUUGGGAAGAUGUUAAGGAAUGUGUUGAACUCUUAGAAAGUUUUUAUAAUGCAACUCUUGCUUUUUCUAAACAAUUCUAUCGCACGGUAACCGAAAUUUUAGCCUAUUCAGCGGAAAUAGCUAGAGUUUUACAAGAGUAUAAAUAUAAACACGGUUAUCAAGUGGCUAUUUUUGAUAUGACAACAAAAUUUAAGAAGUAUUUUUUCCCAUCCCAGCUUUAUUUAUAUUGGGUUCUCUUUUAAAUCCUUGUUUAAAAGUGUCUUAUACUAAAACAUUGGUUAAUCAAAUUUAUACAUUUUUAGAAAUUGAAGAGGGAGUUGAACCAUCUUUAGCUGAAGCCGACCUUGCUAUUGAUGCCGAGUUUAGAAAAGUUUUUAGUCAUUAUUCUAAUUUGGAAGAACAUGCUACACCUGUUGCUCCACGCCCUACUAUUUCUCAAAGUAGCAAAAAAGACUUGUCGGCCAAAUGUGGAUAUCAAGGAAUUAGAUGAUUUGGAUGUCUUAGCAUGGUGAAAGAAAUACAAGGCAAGUCAUUCGAUACUCUCAAGAAUGGCUCGAGAUAUCUUUAUGGUUCAAGUAUCAACCGUGGCUUCGGAGAGUGCAUUUAGCCAAGGAAGACAACAAAUUGGAGACCAUAGAUACUCAUUAUCCGGAUUUAGCUUGUAAGUACUAGUGUGCAUUUGCGAUUGGAUUAGAUCGGAGCGACGCAAUCAAAACUUAGAAGCGGUGGAAGGCGAAGAGGAAGAGAUUGAAGAUUUGAUAGCAAGUGGAGUGGAUCAAAUGGAAGAUUUUGAAGAUAUCUCCAUGGCUGAAUAUGAUAUGGGGGAAAUUAACCAAAUGAUUGAGAAUUGGUGAUUUUAUUACUCUACUAUUUCUUUGCAACUCAUGUAUUAUUUGCAAGUUAAAAAAACUACAACUUGCAAAUAAAUGUUAUCCAAGAAUGAAUAAAAUAUAUGGCUCAUUGAGCUUUUUUCUA
Molecule: long non-coding RNA, 2485 nt
Organism: Lycium barbarum (goji berry)
Lineage: Eukaryota; Viridiplantae; Streptophyta; Magnoliopsida; Solanales; Solanaceae
Exons: 2
Source: RefSeq, a predicted model, not a curated record